ACGCUCGACACCCACGGGAGCCAGCAGUGGGGAAUAUUGCACAAUGGGGGAAACCCUGAUGCAGCGACGCCGCGUGGAGGAAGAAGGUCUUCGGAUUGUAAACUCCUGUUGUUGGGGAAAAAGNGGAUGGUACCCAACAAGGAAGUGACGGCUAACUACGUGCCAGUAGCCGCGGUAAUCUGAGCGGGCUGGCAAGGC
This 198-nucleotide ribosomal RNA is filed under the name uncultured bacterium. Its description in RNAcentral is "partial 16S ribosomal RNA". It matches the Rfam family "Bacterial small subunit ribosomal RNA", at positions 328 to 539 of the family's 1533-position model. The record is from RNAcentral.